This 2317-nucleotide long non-coding RNA is filed under the name Nicotiana tabacum (common tobacco). RNAcentral's name for it is "long non-coding RNA (NTAB_LNC018800)". Lineage: Eukaryota; Viridiplantae; Streptophyta; Magnoliopsida; Solanales; Solanaceae. The record is from RNAcentral.
UUGGUGAUAUUUUACAUCUACACAUUUGAAUAUUCAGCAAGAACAUCAAUGUCAAAACAAGGGAGGAUAGUUCAUUAACAUAAAUGAAAUAGACUUACAGAGUAAUUAAUGUGUUUACCUCCCAGCAGGAGGUACAAGAACAAGUAACCAACUAAAGCUAGAAUGUGAGAAAGAAGUUCAAAACAUUUAGCGAAGCAACAACAACUUAGGAUCUCAACAACGAAAUUACUACAUAUGAAAAUACCUAUUAUGAAUGUCCUUGAAAGUCCCCUUAUACAUAUACACCAAUUCAAACCCCAUGAAAUACAAGUAACUAAGCCAUAACUUGUUCUAUGUUUCAAACCAAAGCUAAUUCUAAAACAAAGAACUUAGCAGAUGCACCCAACAAUAAGAUGAUUACAAACCUAGUCAUACUCUAUUCAACCAUAAAUAUACCUCGCCCAAGCUAUCUCCGAACUAAAUAAUACACAUUAUGCAUGAAAUGGAAAGAGACAGAAGUGAGAAUUCAAUAGCAACCAUCAUUCAAUUUGUUCACAUUUCAGAAUCAAGCUUCAAACUACCCUUAAGUGGUGUCCAUGGAAUUGAUAAAUACCUGGAAGUAAAGAUGAAACAAAAGGGUGAGGAUUUCAGCAGUAAGAACAGCAGAAUUGAGUUCAGAUCCAAGGAAAUAGUGCCACAGAUCAGUUCAAAAUCGUGAAAUGCAACCAAGGAUCCAAUUUUGGAUUCACAGUAAAACCAACAAACUCGACAUCCAAGAUAAAUGACUGAAACUCAAACUAUUUCUAAGUCCAAACAGUUACGAAAUUAAUUCAAGGAGAGAAAAAUUUCAGAUUAGCAAAUUCAAACUCAAUGGAACAGUGCUAAAAUUUUCAGCUAUUUUUAGAUUUUUUUUUCUUCAUAUUUUUCUCUUAGUCUCCCUCUUUCAGGUCUAUGUGUUCUCCCUAUUCCUCCCUGUAUUCAAAAAAAUGACCCCCUUUUAAACUUCAAGCCUCUUUCCCUUUAUUUAUUAGUUAAUCCUCUUUUCCAACCUGUGUAUCCCUUUACACUUGUCUUCUUUUUCCUUUUCAUCCUCCCCCCAUGUUAUCUGACUCACAACUUUAUCAAAAAAACAUUAAACAGAGUGUCAUUUCCACUACCAACCCCUUUUCAAUUCUCAAUUAACCCCCACUAACUUAAUGCUUUCUUAAUUUAAACAACUAUUGCAAUUCCAACCCCACCACUACCAAAAGCUUCCUAAGUAGGUGAAAUUCCUUUAAUCUAAACAAUUCCUAGACUACUCCCUAAAGGCUUUCUCUUAGACACUAAACCUUUACUGGAAUUCUUACCAGCAACAACCGAGGAAGCAAUAGCCGUGGCAGCAGCAAUGUGACUCGCAGUUCCAAAUUUACAAACCAGGCGCAGAGCGAGCAUGUUCUGAUGCUCUCUCCCUCAGUUUCAAACAUAUACACCAACCAAGAACUAAUCUUUCACUCAAUAUUAACAAUAUCUUGAGUACCCUCUAAUAUUUAGUUCAAUACACAAGCGAUAUCUCAAAAUACCACUAAUCUUCACUUCACUAUAUACAAGCAAUAUCUCAAAUACCCGAGGAGUAAAUGACAAACAAUAUCAUGAUAUAAUCUAAUUGAAACUAUGACCUCAAUGGAAGCUCAAAUUUUACAAAAUGAAAUCAUAUAAUAUCCUUCUAGCAAUUCCAACAUAGCUUAAACCAAGAAAAAUUGAAAAGAAACAAUAGAUAGGUAUCAUGCUAUUUGUAUCGCAUUCAAAAUUGACAUCAAAAUUAGAAGUGAGAGUGGGGAAAAUUGAACUUGAGAUGGCUUCUUUUAAAUGAGUAAAAUCAGUGACUACAAAGAUAGGUUCAGAGUGAACUGUGCGCAAGACCCGGUGACGAAAACAAAACACGAGCAGCAACUGAAUCGGACCUCGAACCGUACCUUGAAUAAGCGGCUAGGACUUCGACUCGAAAACCAAACGCCUUGCCGGAAAACUCAGACGAUUAACGAAGGUUUCAGCCACGUCCAUGGCCUUUCGUCACUACUGAUUGCCAUUUCCGGCGAGACUUGGUGAACAGAGGAGCUGGUGAGGAUGGUCUCGUCGAAGAAGACGAACUUCAGGGGUCGUCGAGUUUGAGUGUAGAGGGAGCGGCUGGCGACGGGGUCUGGGCUCGUUUGGUCGCCGAUCUGAUGAGAGGCGGAAUCAAAGAGUGGUCUGGUUCAUCAGUUUUUGAAGAGAUCAGGCGUCAAUGGAGGGACAGUUGUUUGGGGAUGGGGUGGUUCGAAGAAGAUGAUAUGAGGGGGUGGGGCGAUAGGUCUAUUGCGGC